RNAcentral lists this ribosomal RNA (252 nucleotides) under uncultured Bacteroidales bacterium. Its description in RNAcentral is "partial 16S ribosomal RNA". It matches the Rfam family "Bacterial small subunit ribosomal RNA", at positions 524 to 776 of the family's 1533-position model. Lineage: Bacteria; Pseudomonadati; Bacteroidota; Bacteroidia; Bacteroidales. The record is from RNAcentral.
UACGUAGGGGGCAAGCGUUAUCCGGAUUUACUGGGUGUAAAGGGAGCGUAGACGGCGAUGCAAGCCAGAUGUGAAAGCCCGGGGCUCAACCCCGUCGUGCCGUUGAAACUGGCGUUCUUGAGUGAGCGAGAAGUAUGCGGAAUGCGUGGUGUAGCGGUGAAAUGCAUAGAUAUCACGCAGAACUCCGAUUGCGAAGGCAGCAUACCGGCGCUCAACUGACGCUCAUGCACGAAAGCGUGGGUAUCGAACAGG